Molecule: ribosomal RNA, 253 nt
Filed under: uncultured bacterium
Lineage: Bacteria
Description: partial 16S ribosomal RNA
Rfam family: Bacterial small subunit ribosomal RNA
Source: RNAcentral
UACGUAGGUGGCAAGCGUUGUCCGGAUUUACUGGGCGUAAAGGGCGUGCAGGCGGUUUGUUAAGUGCAGGGUGAAAGCUCCCGGCUCAACUGGGAGAGGUCCUUGCAUACUGGCGAACUCGAGGGAGGCAGAGGAAAGUGGAAUUCCCGGUGUAGUGGUGGUAUGCGUAGAUAUCGGGAGGAACACCUGUGGCGAAGGCGGCUUUCUGGGCCUUACCUGACGCUGAGACGCGAAAGCGUGGGGAGCGAACCGG